CGCGAUUCGCCCUUUUCCGGUUGAUCCUGCCGGACCUGACUGCUAUCGGAUUGAUACUAAGCCAUGCGAGUCAUUGUAGCAAUACAAGGCAGACGGCUCAGUAACGCGUAGUCAAUCUACCCUAUGGACGGGGAUAACCUCGGGAAACUGAGAAUAAUACCCGACAGAACAUUAUGCCUGGAAUGGCUUAUGUUUUAAAUGAUUUAUCGCCGUAGGAUGGGACUGCGGCCUAUCAGUUUGUUGGUGAGGUAAUGGCCCACCAAGACUAUUACAGGUACGGGCUCUGAGAGGAGUGGCCCGGAGAUGGGUACUGAGACACGGACCCAGGCCCUAUGGGGCGCAGCAGGCGAGAAAACUUUGCAAUGUGCGAAAGCACAACAAGGUUAAUCCGAGUGGUUUCUGCUAAAGAAACCUUUUGUUAGUCCUASAAACACUGCCGAAUAACGGGUGGGCAAGUGCUSUGGUGUCAGCCGCCGCGGUAAAACCAGCACCUCAAGUGGUCAGGAUGAUUAUUGGGCCUAAAGCAUCCGUAUCUUGCUUUGUAAGUUCUCGGUUAAAUCCAUGCGCUUAACGUAUGGGCUGCGGGUAAAACUCCAAAACUUAUGGGGUGGGAGAGGUAGACGGUACUCGGUAGGAAGGGGUAAAAUCCUUUGAUCUAUUGAUGACCACCUGUGGCGAAGGCGGUUUACCAGAACACGUCCGACGGUGAGGGAUGAAAGCUGGGGGAGCAAACCGGAUUAGAUGCCCGGGUAGUCCCAGCUGUAAACUAUGCAAACUCAGUGAUGCAUUGGCUUGUGGCCAAUGCAGUGCUGCAGGGAAGCCGUUAAGUUUGCCGCCUGGGAAGUACGUACGCAAGUAUGAAACUUAAAGGAAUUGGCGGGAAGGGCGAAUUC
This 893-nucleotide ribosomal RNA is filed under the name uncultured archaeon. RNAcentral describes it as "bacterial SSU rRNA". It matches the Rfam family "Archaeal small subunit ribosomal RNA", at positions 1 to 884 of the family's 1478-position model. The record is from RNAcentral.